AAUGAACGCUGGCGGCAGGCCUAACACAUGCAAGUCGAGCGGAUGAAGGGAGCUUGCUCCUGGAUUCAGCGGCGGACGGGUGAGUAAGUCCUAGGAAUCUGCCUUAUCGUGGGGGAUAACGUCCGGAAACGGGCGCUAAUACCGCAUACGUCCCGAUGGUGAAAGGGGGGGAUCUUUGGACCUCACGCUUUUUGCUGAGCCUAGGUCGGAUUAGCUAGUUGGUGGGGUAAAGGCCUACCAAGGCGACGAUCCGUAACUGGCCUGAGAGGAUGAUCAGUCACACUGGAACUGAGACACGGUCCAGACUCCUACGGGAGGCAGCAGUGGGGAAUAUUGGACAAUGGGCGAAAGCCUGAUCCAGCAAUGCCGCGUGUGUGAAGAAGGUCUUCGGAUUGUAAAGCUCUUUUAGUAGGGAGGAACGGAAGUAAGUUAAAACCUGGCUGUUUUGACGUUACCAACAGAAUAAGCAACGGCUAACUUCGUG
Molecule: ribosomal RNA, 484 nt
Filed under: uncultured bacterium
Lineage: Bacteria
Description: partial 16S ribosomal RNA
Rfam family: Bacterial small subunit ribosomal RNA
Source: RNAcentral